RNAcentral lists this unclassified non-coding RNA (220 nucleotides) under Oryza sativa (Asian cultivated rice). RNAcentral describes it as "partial microRNA MIR446d-2 precursor". Lineage: Eukaryota; Viridiplantae; Streptophyta; Magnoliopsida; Poales; Poaceae. The record is from RNAcentral.
UAUGAAGUAUUAAAUAUAGAGGAAAAAAUAACUAAUUACAUAGAUUGUGUGUAAAUUGCGAGACGAAUCUUUUAAGCUUAAUUACGCCAUGAUUUGACAAUGUUGUGCUACAGUAAACAUUUACUAAUAAUAGAUUAAUUAGACUUAAUAAAUUCAUCUCGCGGUUUACAGGCGGAUUCUAUAAUUUGUUUUGUUAUUAGACUACGCUUGAUACUUUAAA